Molecule: non-coding RNA, 7764 nt
Organism: Cicer arietinum (chickpea)
Lineage: Eukaryota; Viridiplantae; Streptophyta; Magnoliopsida; Fabales; Fabaceae
Source: RefSeq, a predicted model, not a curated record
CAACAAAAAUAAUACAUAUUAAAAAAACAACUUAACGUUAUAAAAGGAUGCAAGUGUACACACUUGAUAGGGUUUCAAGUUUGUCCUUACUUCACGGAGAGUAAAAAAGACGCAAACUUGACGAAUCGGCAGAGAAAAAAAGGUGCGAAAUUGACGAAUAGGAAAAAGGAAGAGAUUGGAGCUUCUUCAUUGGAUUUUCAUUAUUCUGAAUUCUUUCUAGCUCGGCCACCGUUGAUUCUGAUUGUUCGUACGAAACCGGAAAAAUAAUAAAGAAAGAAAAGAAAGGUGUGUCCUCUCCAUUUUCAAUCUUCUGCACCUUGAAUCGAAUUCUUUAUAAUUGAUUCGUUUGCAACGGUAACGGUAACAUCCCGUUCUUGAAAUUCAAACCCUAGAAAUUUAAUUUGAAUUGGUACCGGAAAAAUAUAACCACAGAGUCACAAACAUUGUUAUUCGGAUUUCAGUUUUUGGAUUCUAGGAUUUGAAUAAUCAACAAUCAUGGUUUGCUUCGAUUUGAAAGAGAGAGAUGUAGAUAUGAACAAAAAAAAAAUAUAAAAAGCUUCUUGAUUCUACCUUCGAUAAAUCUGCUGUCCUUUCAAGUUUAGUUGUGUAGCUCGUCUGAAUUUCGUUUCUUUAAUCGUUGCUUCAUCUCUCUCCCCCCAUUUACAAUCCAUUCUUCUUUGGAUUUCUGAUUUAUCGAUUUUUUCUUUUUCUGUUCAGCAAACAUGCUGACUCCAAAACCAUGUAUGGCAUGAAUGUUUUGGGCUAGGUUUUGGUUUGCAUAAUGAUUAUAGAAUGUAUGAUCUUGAUCAUUCCUUAUUUUUCAUGCCUAAAAAGGCUAAUAAAAAUUGAGAAGUUGCUAUAUGUAACUUAUGACAAAUCGGUUGCUAUGUUUGGAUGACCCAAAUUUUAAUUAUGAGAUGGAUUCUUGACCCUAAAUGUUGUUUGGAAUAUGAAUUUUUUAUUCAUAUGAAAUUGAGAUAAUAUGAAUGAUGACCCUAUAUUUAAUUUUGAGAUGGAUUCUUCUUGACCCAAAGUGUGGCUUGCAUUAUGAAUUUUUAUUCAUAUGAAAUUGUGAUGGUAUGUUUGGAUGACCGAAAAUAUAAUCACGAGGUAGAUGGAUUCUUGACUCAAAAUGUGUAUUGCAAUAUGAGUAUUUUGUUCAUAUGAUGUUGAGAUAAUAUGAUUGGAUGACCCUACAUUUAAUUACGAGAGGAUUCUUGACCCUAAAUGUUGUUUGGAAUAUGAAUUUUUUAUUCAUAUAAAAUUGAGAUAAUAUGAAUGAUGACCCUAUAUUUAAUUUUGAGAUGGAUUCUUCUUGACCCAAAGCGUGGCUUGCAUUAUGAAUUUUUAUUCAUAUGAAAUUGUGAUGGUAUGUUUGGAUGACCGAAAAUAUAAUCACGAGAUGGAUGGAUUCUUGACUCAAAAUGUAUAUUGCAAUAUGAAUAUUUUGUUCAUAUGAAGUUGAGAUAAUAUGAUUGGAUGACCCUACAUUUAAUUACGAGAUGGAUUCUUGACCCUAAACGUUGUUUGGAAUAUGAAUUUUUUUUUCAUAUGAAAUUGAGAUAAUAUGAAUGGUGACCCUAUAUUUAAUUUUGAGAUGGAUUCUUGACCCAAAGUGUGGCUUGCAAUAUGAAUUUUUAUUCAUAUGAAAUUGUGAUGGUAUGUUUGGAUGACCGAAAAUAUAAUCACGAGAUGGAUGGAUUCUUGACUCAAAAUGUGUAUUGCAAUAUGAGUAUUUUGUUCAUAUGAUGUUGAGAUAAUAUGAUUGGAUGACCCGACAUUUAAUUAUGAGAUGGAUUCUUGACCCUAAAUGUUGGUUGGAAUAUGAAUUUUUUAUUCAUAUGAAAUUGAGAUAAUAUGAAUGAUGACCCUAUAUUUAAUUUUGAGAUGGAUUCUUCUUGACCCAAAGUGUGGCUUGCAAUAUGAAUUUUUAUUCAUAUGAAAUUGUGAUGGUAUGUUUGGAUGACCGAAAAUAUAAUCACGAGAUGGAUGGAUUCUUGACUCAAAAUGUGUAUUGCAAUAUGAGUAUUUUGUUCAUAUGAUGUUGAGAUAAUAUGAUUAGAUGACCCUACAUUUAAUUAUGAGAUGGAUUCUUGACCCUAAAUGUUGUUUGGAAUAUGAAUUUUUUAUUCAUAUAAAAUUGAGAUAAUAUGAAUGAUGACCCUAUAUUUAAUUUUGAGAUGGAUUCUUCUUGACCCAAAGUGUGGCUUGCAUUAUGAAUUUUUAUUCAUAUGAAAUUGUGAUGGUAUGUUUGGAUGACCGAAAAUAUAAUCACGAGAUGGAUGGAUUCUUGACUCAAAAUGUGUAUUGCAAUAUGAGUAUUUUGUUCAUAUGAUGUUGAGAUAAUAUGAUUAGAUGACCCUACAUUUAAUUAUGAGAUGGAUUCUUGACCCUAAAUGUUGUUUGGAAUAUGAAUUUUUUAUUCAUAUAAAAUUGAGAUAAUAUGAAUGAUGACCCUAUAUUUAAUUUUGGGAUGGAUUCUUGACCCAAAGUGUGGCUUGCAAUAUGAAUUUUUAUUCAUAUGAAAUUGUGAUGGUAUGUUUGGAUGACCGAAAAUAUAAUCACGAGAUGGAUGGAUUCUUGACUCAAAAUGUAUAUUGCAAUAUGAGCAUUUUGUUCAUAUGAUGUUGAGAUAAUAUGAUUGGAUGACCCUACAUUUAAUUACGAGAUGGAUUCUUGACCCUAAAUGUUGUUUGGAAUAUGAAUUUUUUUUUUCAUAUGAAAUUGAGAUAAUAUGAAUGGUGACCAUAUAUUUAAUUUUGAGAUGGAUUCUUGACCCAAAGUGUGGCUUGCAAUAUGAAUUUUUAUUCAUAUGAAAUUGUGAUGGUAUGUUUGGAUGACCGAAAAUAUAAUCACGAGAUGGAUGGAUUCUUGACUCAAAAUGUAUAUUGCAAUAUGAGUAUUUUGUUCAUAUGAUGUUGAGAUAAUAUGAUUGGAUGACCCUACAUUUAAUUACGAGAUGAAAUCUUGACCCUAAAUGUUGUUUGGAAUAUGAAUUUUUUAUUCAUAUAAAAUUGAGAUAAUAUGAAUGAUGACCCUAUAUUUAAUUUUGAGAUGGAUUCUUGACCUAAAGUGUGGCUUGCAAUAUGAAUUUUUAUUCAUAUGAAAUUGUGAUGGUAUGUUUGGAUGACCGAAAAUAUAAUCACGUGAUGGAUGGAUUCUUGACUCAAAAUGUAUAUUGCAAUAUGAAUAUUUUGUUCAUAUGAAGUUGAGAUAAUAUGAUUGGAUGACCCUACAUUUAAUUACGAGAUGGAUUCUUGACCCUAAAUGUUGUUAGGAAUAUGAAUUUUUUUUUCAUAUGAAAUUGAGAUAAUAUAAUUGGAUGACCUUAAAUUUAAACACAAGAGGGAUUCUUGACCCAACAUGUGGCUGGCAUUAUGAAUUUUUUAUUCAUGAUAGUAUGUUUGGAUGAUCCAAAUUUGAAUCAUGAGAUGGAUUCCUGACCCAAAAUGUGGCUUACGAUAUGAAUUAUUUGUUCAUAUGAAAUUGAAAUAAUAUGACUGGAUGACCCCAAAUUUAUUCAUGGGAUGGAUUCUUGACCCUAAAUGUGGCUUGUAAUAUGAAUUUUUAUUCAUAUGAAAUUGCAAUGGUAUGUUUUGGGUGACCCAUAAUUUAAUUACGAGAUGGAUGGAUUUUUGACGCAAAAUGUGUUGUGCAAUAUGAAUUUUUUGUUCAUAUGAAGUUGGGAUAAUAUGAUUGGAUGACCCCAAAAUUAAAUUUUGACAUGAAUUCUUGACCCAAAAUGAUGUUUGCAAUAUGAAUUUUUUGUUCAUAUGUAAUUGGGAUAGUAUGUUUGGUUGAUUUGAAAUUUAAUUAUGAGAUGGAUUCCUGACCCUAAACGUGACUUGUAAUAUGAAUUUUUUAUUCAUAUGAAAUUGAGAUAAAUGACCGGAAGAUCCUAAAUUUAAUCAAGAGAUGAAUUCAUGGUCCAAAAUGUGGCUUGCAAUAUGAAUUUGCUAUUCAAAUGAAAUUGGGAUAAUAUGUUUGGAUGAAUCUAAAUUUUAUCACGAGAGAGUUUCCUUGACCCAAAAUAUGGCUUGCAAUGUGAAUUUCUUAUUCAUAGGUAAUUGGAAUAGAACGUUUGGACGAUCCCAAAUUUAAUUACGAGAUGGAUUAUUGGCCCUAAGUGUGGCUUGCAAUAUGAUUUUUUUUUGUUCAUAUAGAAUUGGGAUAAUAUGAUUGUAUGACAAUUUAAUCUCAAGAUGGAUUUUAGACCCAAAAUGUGGCUUACAAUAUGAAUUCUUUAUUUAUAUAAAAUUGGGAUAAUAUGUUUAGAUUACUUAUAAUUUAUUUGCCGGAUGGAUUAAUGAACCUAAAUGUGACUUGCAAUAUGAAUUUUUUAUUCAUAUGAAAUUUGUAUAACAUGAUUCUAAAUAUAAAUACAAGAUUGAUUUUACAUGUCAAGAUGACCCUUAAUAGCAAGUUUGUUUCGGAUGACAAUAUUGUGUCUCAAGGCGUCAAAUUUGACAUUUGAGUUUUUAUGAUCUAAAUUCAAUAAAUGAGAUGUCAAUAUUGUACAUCAAUGACCUUUGAUGUGAAAUUUAAUAUUUGAGCAACACUAAUCUUGAAUUCGAUUAAUUGAAAUGAUGGUUUUGUGUCUAGAUGACCUUGGAUAUGAAAUUUAGAUGAUGACAUGUCCCCUCGAUGAAAUCGGAUGCAAAAUAUUAUAUUUGAGCUUAGAUAAUCUUAAAUUCAAUAAAUUUGGAUGAUGAUAUUGGAUGCAAAUUUUGAUAUUUGAUAAAUCGGGUUCAUAGCUUUGUGCCUCGUCGACCAUGGAUGUCAAAUAUGAUGUUUGAGCCUAGAUGACCCUAUUUUCGAUAAAUUAAGAUGAUGGUAUGGUGCCUCGAUGAUCUUGGAUGUGGAAUUUGAUAUUUGAUAAUUGAGCCUUGAUGAUCCUUGGUGAUAUAUGAUAAUUGAGCCUUGAUGAUCCUAAAGUAUAUAAAUUGAGAUGAUACUAUUGUGCCUUGACAACCUUGGAUUCAAAAUUAGAUAACUGAGACAAGAUGAUUCCUAAUUCGAUAAAUUGGGGUGAUGAUAUUGUGUCGUAAUAUCUUUGGAUGUGAAAUUUGAUAUUUGAGCUUAGAUGAUCCUUAAUUCGAAUGGGAUGAUGGUGUUAUGUCAUAAAAACCUUGGAUGCAAUAUCUGAUUUUUGUCCCUAGAUAAUCCUAAAUUCGAUAAGUUCAUAUGACAAUAUUGUCUCCCAAUGACCUUGGAUGCAAAAUGAUACUUGGGCCUAGACAAACUAAAAAUUCAAUAAAUUGAGACAAUGAUAUUGUGUCUUGAUGACUUUAGAUGCGAGUUUUCAUAUUUGAGUGUAGUUGAUUCUAAAUUGAGAUGAUAGAACUGUGUCUCGAUGUCCUUGCAAAAUAUAAUAUAUGUGUCUAGAUUAUCUUGAAUUUGAUAAAUUUGGAUGAUAUUAUCGUCCCUUGAUGAUCUUGGAUGUGAAAUUUGAUAUUUGAAUCUAAAUGAUCCUAAAUUCGAUAAAAUAGGAUGAGGGUAUUGUGCCUUGGACAACGUUGGAUGCAAAAUUUUAUAUUUGAGCCUCGAUGAUCCUAAAUUUGAUAAAUUAAGAUGUCAUUGUGCCUCAAAUGACUUUGGAUGCAAAGUAGGCUCAAAUUUGAUAAAUUGAGAUGGUUGUAUUGUGCCUCAAUGAUAUUAGAUUAGAUGUGAAAUUUGAUAUUUGAGUCUUAAUGAUUAAUAAUUCAAUAACUUGGGAAGAUGGUAUUGUGUCUUGAUGACCUUAGAUGCAAAAUUUAAUAUUUCGAAAUUUAUUGAUAAAUUGGGAUGAUAGUGUUGUGUUUCAACGACCUGGGAUUCGAAGUUUGUAUUUGAGUCUGAUGAUCCUUAAAACUAUGUUAAAAAUACUGUUAAUGCAAUGAAUUACACAUUAUCUUGGAUGCUUAAUUACUGCAAAAUAAAAUGUUGGAGGGUGAACAGUAAACAACCCUUUCAUCUUGGAGAUUUUUGUCUUGGAGAUACUAGUUCGACUCGAAGAAAUGUGACAUCAUGAUUUCAUUGGCUCUUAUAAAGAUGUUGGUGUGCAAUAGAACAUCAAAUCAACAAUACAGGUGUAAGUGGAUUUGUGCGUUGUCCACAUUUCAAAGCGCAAAGGUCUUCUGUAAGUGUUAGAGAUGUGAUAUAAAACAAUUCAUGUUCAUUAUUUAGCAACUUUAGCUUUUGAGAGAAAACUUGUCCAUCAGAAAGUUUGAUCACAAAUUUGGUUCUAGACUGCAUGGAAUUUAUCUUGUGCACUUCUUUACAAGUACUUACUAAUCCUAUAUAUUCUACUAGUGUUAACUAUUUUGAUUUGGUGUGUGCCCUAGCCUCUAAUGCUAUAUUUGUUUCUUCUAUCCUUUUUCCCUGAUCAUUUAUCUCUGAAAGGAACAAUAUUGUUUUUUUUUUCCAAAAGGGGAGCCCGUUUUAGAGGUAAGUGGCUAUUUGAAUGGCACGGUCCCAAGUUUGGAGAGGGGGAGAAGACUGAGAUAGUAAAGAGAGACUAACUUCAAUAAUAUGGCUAUGUUUGUCCUCAAAAACACCAUUCUAAUAAAGAGUAUGAUGAAGGAAUAAAUCAAUGCAUUAUCCCAUUGUGCUAAAGUAUUUCAGCUAAAUGGAUCAACAAAGGAAAGAAUAUCUUCUGAAAGAUUUUAAAGGGGUUGGUCCCCACAAGUCAAUCAACAACAAUAGGUUUGAGAGGAUAAACAAUAAGCUUGCCUUUGCAGCUAACAACACAAUUGUCUAAGAUAUUUUUAUUUGCAAUUUGAGCAUUACAAAUUUUGGAUACACUUGAAUCAUAGAGGACAGAAGAAGACUGAAUUUAUUAUUUCAUAAAGUGUGUGAUUUUGACUUGUAUACAUUUACAAUAGAAUUUAGAGUUAUUACAAAAAAAAUUAUAGGAAAUUUAGAAUUUCAAGAAUUGAAAUGUGCUACAUGACUACUAAGAGGAACAACUCUGAGCAGACAACAAAUAUGGAAUUAAAUAAAGUCCAUCUUGACCCAUCACCCUUCUAACAAAAUUCAGUGGGUGUCCUGAGAUUUAACAAAGCAUUUAAUAUGACGGAAUAAAAGAAGUGUUUGGCCUUUUAGUGAUUGAAGGAAGUAGAGCCAGAUUUUUGAGUGACAAACUAACAUUGGUGUGAAAGGAAUUGGAACCAACAGAAGUAAUAGGAAAACCACAAAUAUCUGAUCAUGGAUGUUAAAUUCAAGGCAUCUGUGUGAUUAAGCAGUGCUAAUAUGACUGCAUUGAAGAAUCUGCAAGUUUCGCCACCGGAGGAGACUGAGGAAAUUGAUUGCAUUUGAACAAACAAUGCACUAUUGUCUGCCAAUGAUAAAAUCCAUAGAACAAUUUUUAUUAUUUUUCUAUUUUCUAAUUGAAGUCUUGUAUGUGUCUAUGCUCUUGAUUAGUUGAAGUCAACUGAGUGAGUACUGCAUUUUUGUUGCAAUUUUCAGUGGUUGAAUCAUUUCAUUCAUUUUCAAUAUUGAAUUUGAAAAAUGAUUUGAAGUUUCAUUUCUUGAAAAUCAGGUGUUUCCACCUUCCAUUUUCAUUUUCCAUAUCUAUAAAAUAUUGUGGAAGAGAUUAUGGUUGUGCUACAAAACACUCAAGGGAUAUUUCAACAUUUUUUAUGUUAAAGGAAACCUGAUUUGUGACUCUUAGUUGAGAGCUCUACCACUCCCUAACUUACAUUUGGGGGCAAGUAAACUUCUAUUUUGCUCCGAGUCAGGUUAAAUCUUAUUCUUCAAUUGAAUGCAAAUAUUUGGUUUUGCAUG